Long non-coding RNA from Oncorhynchus keta (chum salmon), 943 nucleotides. RefSeq lists it as uncharacterized. The transcript has 3 exons. The record is from RefSeq and is a predicted model, not a curated record. Lineage: Eukaryota; Metazoa; Chordata; Actinopteri; Salmoniformes; Salmonidae.
UAUGUAGAUGUUAUAUUAUGUAAAGUAGACUAGGUUAUAAUGUAUAGUAGUGGGUUGUUAGUGAUAUGUAGAUGUUAUAUUAUGUAAAGUAGACUAGGUUAUAAUGUAUAGUAGUGGGUUGUUAGUGGUAUGUAGAUGUUAUAUUAUGUAAAGUAGACUAGGUUAUAAUGUAUAGUAGUGGGUUGUUAGUGAUAUGUAGAUGUUAUAUUAUGUAAAGUAGACUAGGUUAUAAUGUAUAGUAGUGGGUUGUUAGUGAUAUGUAGAUGUUAUAUUAUGUAAAGUAGACUAGGUUAUAAUGUAUAGUAGUGGGUUGUUAGUGAUAUGUUAUAUUAUGUAAAGUAGACUAGGUUAUAAUGUAUAGUAGUGGGUUGUUAGUGAUAUGUAGAUGUUAUAUUAUGUAAAGUAGACUAGGUUAUAAUGUAUAGUAGUGGGUUGUUAGUGAUAUGUUAUAUUAUGUAAAGUAGACUAGGUUAUAAUGUAUAGUAGUGGGUUGUUAGUGAUAUGUUAUAUUAUGUAAAGUAGACUAGGUUAUAAUGUAUAGUAGUGGGUUGUUAGUGAUAUGUUAUAUUAUGUAAAGUAGACUAGGUUAUAAUGUAUAAUAGCAGUUUGUUAGUGAUAUGUAGGCUAUAGCCUACAUAUCAUAGAUGACCAGCCUAAACCUGUUCAGAUCAGUUCACAUAAUGUUAUAGUCCUUCCAGUAGCAGGACAGAGAAUGUACUGUAUAUAACCUACAUAUCAUAGAUGACCAGUCUAAACCUGUUCAGAUCAGUUCACAUAAUGUUAUAGUCCUUCCAGUAGCAGGACAGAGAAUGUACUGUAUAUAACCUACAUAUCAUAGAUGACCAGUCUAAACCUGUUCAGAUCAGUUCACAUAAUGUUAUAGACCUUCCAGUAGCAGGACAGAGAAUGUAGCCUAGGCCUGAUAUUUUUUACAACAUUUUCA